Molecule: non-coding RNA, 86 nt
Organism: Podarcis lilfordi (Lilford's wall lizard)
Lineage: Eukaryota; Metazoa; Chordata; Lepidosauria; Squamata; Lacertidae
Source: the annotation of a GenBank genome assembly
AGAGUUGUUAGGAGACCUCAUUUCUCUCUCAGAGCUCCUAUUCCCAGGGAGCUCUGUGAGGGGAAUAAUGGUCUCCUAACAUUUCU